UACGUAGGGGGCAAGCGUUGUUCGGAUUUACUGGGCGUAAAGAGCGUGUAGGCGGCCAUACAGGUCCGUUGUGAAAACUGGAGGCUCAACCUUCAGACGUCGACGGAAACUGUCUGGCUAGAGUCCGGAAGAGGAGAGUGGAAUUCCUGGUGUAGCGGUGAAAUGCGCAGAUAUCAGGAGGAACACCAAUGGCGAAGGCAGCUCACUGGGACGGUAUUGACGCUGAGACGCGAAAGCGUGGGGAGCAAACAGG
Molecule: ribosomal RNA, 253 nt
Filed under: uncultured bacterium
Lineage: Bacteria
Description: partial 16S ribosomal RNA
Rfam family: Bacterial small subunit ribosomal RNA
Source: RNAcentral